This 220-nucleotide ribosomal RNA is filed under the name uncultured bacterium. Its description in RNAcentral is "partial 16S ribosomal RNA". It matches the Rfam family "Bacterial small subunit ribosomal RNA", at positions 111 to 334 of the family's 1533-position model. The record is from RNAcentral.
UAAUGUCUGGGAAACUGCCUGAUGGAGGGGGAUAACUACUGGAAACGGUAGCUAAUACCGCAUAACGUCGCAAGACCAAAGUGGGGGACCUUCGGGCCUCAUGCCAUCAGAUGUGCCCAGAUGGGAUUAGCUAGUAGGUGGGGCAAUGGCUCACCUAGGCGACGAUCCCUAGCUGGUCUGAGAGGAUGACCAGCCACACUGGAACUGAGACACGGUCCAG